UGGGGAAUAUUGCACAAUGGGCGAAAGCCUGAUGCAGCAACGCCGCGUGAGGGAUGACGGCCUUCGGGUUGUAAACCUCUUUUGGCAGGGAAGAAGCGAAAGUGACGGUACCUGCAGAAAAAGCACCGGCUAACUACGUGCCAGCAGCCGCGGUAAUACGUAGGGUGCAAGCGUUGUCCGGAAUUAUUGGGCGUAAAGAGCUCGUAGGCGGUUUGUCGCGUCUGCUGUGAAAACGCAAGGCUCAACCUUGCGCCUGCAGUGGGUACGGGCAGACUAGAGUGUGGUAGGGGAGAUUGGAAUUCCUGGUGUAGCGGUGGAAUGCGCAGAUAUCAGGAGGAACACCGAUGGCGAAGGCAGAUCUCUGGGCCAUUACUGACGCUGAGGAGCGAAAGCGUGGGGAGCGAACAG
This 408-nucleotide ribosomal RNA is filed under the name uncultured bacterium. RNAcentral describes it as "bacterial SSU rRNA". It matches the Rfam family "Bacterial small subunit ribosomal RNA", at positions 355 to 775 of the family's 1533-position model. The record is from RNAcentral.